AGAUAUGUGGGCAAUCUAUUACUUCUCUAAUUCCACCCCUUACCUGGAUCAACUCAGCUGACUGGCAGGUGGACGUCCCGCCUCCACUAUUCCACAGUGAAGGAGGUCCGUUCCUUGGUCAAAGAUUUAUAGGUGGCUGUGUUCCUCUGCUAGAACUCCCAGACAAGCUUCAAGGUCUAUUUGUAGGGUAAGAUAGGGUAAUGAAGCUCCCAAUAUUCCAGACACAUUAAAAUGUGCUGCAUAGGGCAGGCUGCCCAUCUUU
Unclassified non-coding RNA from Fukomys damarensis (Damara mole-rat), 262 nucleotides. Its record names the gene 7SK. It matches the Rfam family "7SK RNA". Rfam says of the family: 7SK was discovered as an abundant small nuclear RNA in the mid-70s but a possible function has only recently been suggested. Two independent studies have found that 7SK RNA binds the CDK9/cyclin T complex (known as elongation factor P-TEFb). The record is from Ensembl. Lineage: Eukaryota; Metazoa; Chordata; Mammalia; Rodentia; Bathyergidae.